Molecule: long non-coding RNA, 164 nt
Organism: Hippocampus comes (tiger tail seahorse)
Lineage: Eukaryota; Metazoa; Chordata; Actinopteri; Syngnathiformes; Syngnathidae
Exons: 2
Source: RefSeq, a predicted model, not a curated record
AGUCCUCCAUUACCGCCUGUGAAACGACAGAAGAGAGACGGAAGCGGGACUGACAACAACGCAAGGUCUGAGAGGGGCUCCAAGAGUAAACUUGAGUGUGCGUGGACAUCAUCAGCCACAAUGAGCAUUCUCAAGGUGUUCACUGUUGCCCUUGUGCUGUUUGG